RNAcentral lists this long non-coding RNA (994 nucleotides) under Mytilus galloprovincialis (Mediterranean mussel). Lineage: Eukaryota; Metazoa; Mollusca; Bivalvia; Mytilida; Mytilidae. The record is from RNAcentral.
UUUGGUAUAAGAUAAAAACAAGAGUAUCUGUUUAUUUCAGAUGAGGGUAAGUAUCAAGGAGCACGUCGUGUGUGAGUGCAUCCUUGAAGUUUUCUGUAGUACUGUUUUUGGUAAUUUCAGGGGUUAGUUUGUUCCAGUCUUUGAUGGUUUGACAGAAGAAAGAAAAUUUAUAGCUGUCUUUAUUGCAAUGAAUUUGUCUGUAGGAUUCUUUAUUGGUGGAUCUUGUAGUAGACUGACUCUGUUGUAAUACAUUUUGCGAUGGAAUGGCUAUCUUUUCAUUUACAAUUUUGUGGAACAUUAUAAGCCUUGUUCGUAGUCGGCGUUCUUGUAAUGUUUGCCAUUUCAUGGUAUCUAGCAUCUCAGACACACUGCUGGUGUUGUGAUGUCUAUUGCACACAUACCUUGCUGCCCGUCUUUGUACUUUUUCCAGUGAUUUUAUAUUUUCGUUUGUAAAUGGGUCCCAUACAGUACAACAGUAUUCCAACUUUGGUCUUAUGAGUGUUUGGUACGCUCUUUCUUUAAUUGUUUGCGAUUGGACUUUAAGGUUUCUUCUGAUGAAACCUAAGGAUUUAUUUGCUUUUGCAGCAGUUUGUUGGAUGUGGGUGUUCCAUUUUAGGUCUGCUGAGAUGGUGAUGCCUAAGUAUUUUGCAUGUUUUACAGAUUCUAAAAUGUGUCCAUACAUGUUAUAAUAAAAGUGGAUGGGAUUUCUUUUUGUUGUUAUAUUCAUGAUGUUACACUUGUCUGGAUGGAAAGACAUAAGCCAAUCUUUUUCCCAUUGUAUGGCAGCUUCUAGGUCUUCUUGAAGCUUGAGGCAGUCGUUUUGAGUUUUAAUUUGUCGGUAGAUUAUACUGUCAUCUGCAAAGAGUCUGAUUUUGCUAUGUUGGAUGUAAUCUGGGAGGUCAUUUAUAUAUAUUAAAAAUAGAAUUACAAGCUAUUGAGGAAAGAUUUACAAGACGGCUGUGCUUUAACUCGGAUCUUUUUAUUUAUUGAGAUU